Molecule: long non-coding RNA, 1151 nt
Filed under: Heterocephalus glaber (naked mole-rat)
Lineage: Eukaryota; Metazoa; Chordata; Mammalia; Rodentia; Bathyergidae
Description: lncRNA (ENSHGLG00000033183.1)
Source: RNAcentral
CGAAGGCAUCACCUGGAACUUGUGGCCCCUGAGGAACAAUCAGAGCCCCCUUUGCCGCACGGUGCACGUCGGGCGCGUCCCCUCCCCGUGCAGCCGGGAGCCUGCGAUGGCCCGAGGUGAUGGCCUCUGGGUUGAAUGCAGUCACUUUCUGUCCCUCCUGGGUUUCACUGCUGACCCUGUGUCCCGCAGCUCUCAGAGGCCCCGUGGUGACACUCGGUUAGCCACGCUCCUCUCCUUCCGUCCCUCUCACUGCUCUGAUUUGUGCCCCUGACCCCACAUGCACCACUGGACCACCGUGAGGGAAGGACGGUCUGGAUUUCAAGGUCCCUGGCAGGGAAACAACAGUGUCAAGCUCACAGACGUCCUCCGAGAUCACCAUCAAGCACCCCGGGAGGAAACAGGACCUUGGUGUGGCCGGUGAGGAGCAGGUGCUUUAUGAGCUCAUCGCUGUGGCCCGCCGCCCCCCCGAUCUGUGUCAGUGUGAAGUAAGAGGCCAGCAAAGAGGUGUCAGGGAAACAAGGCAGCCCCUGCCCCUUCCUCCUGCUGCCACGUGACACUGAGCCGCCCACGCGCCAAGUGGGGCCCUUGUGCUGGUGAAGCAUCAACCCCGAGUCCUCAGUCACCACCGUGGAGUCAGAGAGCGGACCCGGGUCACCCUCCCCCAGCAGGCAGAAGAAAGUGAAUGGAGGCCUGGACGCCAGGGUGGGUCCUGCCCCCGUGUCCAUGGGAACCAGCCUUGACUGAGAAGAGGAAGUGGGGUGAGGACAGCCUUGACAUCCCACAUUUCUCCUUCCAGAGGACACAAGAACCUUCAGUGUCAACGUUCACCAGCACACCACCCCCGGAAAGUCUGGAAUCCUCAGUCAGAAAAGUUCAGUAUCUCGAAGUGGGCCCCCAUCCAGGUGUCUGCCCUGGGGACAGAGGCACCUGUGUUCACUGUCACAGUCAACUUUCUUCUUUCAUGUCAAAAUUGAUUCUGAAAACUCAACAGAGCCCAUCACCUUCACUUUUGUGGGACUAGCAGCACUGGGCCACCUCUCACAGCCUGUCAUACUAUAUUCAGUGUGAGCAAGAGUUUUCUAAAGCUGGGCUCUGGCCAUCUUUGCAUAAUGUAUGAAUUAAAAAUAAUUUUAUUCCCUCCUCUGUCUUUG